AUGUCUAGCGCUAAACCUAGCGAGAUUGAUCCAUUUGACACUGUCUACUCAAACAUUCCAGACAGCACUCACAUCCUGAAACUCGACGAAAAUUGCAAACACUGCAAGGCCAGAAAGUUUGAGUCUGAGACUGACGGCUUCUGCUGUCGCAAUGGCCAGAUCCAGCUUAAGCAGCCGGAACCAAUCCCAGAGCUUAUGAGGCUAUGGUCCAGCAUGGAUGCAGAUUCUAGACAUUUUCGGGAGAACAUACGGUUCUUCAACGGGCAUUUCGCCUUCACAACCCUUGGUGUCAGCCUUGAUGAAAACUACACGAACAUGAAGUCUGGGGUGUAUACAUUCCGAGCACAUGGCACCAUCUACCACAAUGUCCAUUCGUUCGGGCCUAGCUCCCGUCCAGAACAUCUGCAGUUGUACUUCUUGACGACGACCCUAACCUAA
RNAcentral lists this ribosomal RNA (438 nucleotides) under Triticum aestivum (bread wheat). Its description in RNAcentral is "partial small subunit ribosomal RNA". Lineage: Eukaryota; Viridiplantae; Streptophyta; Magnoliopsida; Poales; Poaceae. The record is from RNAcentral.